UACGUAGGUGGCAAGCGUUGUCCGGAUUUAUUGGGCGUAAAGAGCUCGUAGGCGGUUCGGUAAGUCGGGUGUGAAACCUCCAGGCUCAACCUGGAGAGGCCACCUGAUGCUGCUGUGACUCGAGUCCGGUAGGGGAGCGUGGAAUUCCUGGUGUAGCGGUGAAAUGCGCAGAUAUCAGGAGGAACACCAGCGGCGAAGGCGGCGCUCUGGGCCGGAACUGACGCUGAGGAGCGAAAGCGUGGGGAGCGAACAGG
RNAcentral lists this ribosomal RNA (254 nucleotides) under uncultured bacterium. RNAcentral describes it as "partial 16S ribosomal RNA". It matches the Rfam family "Bacterial small subunit ribosomal RNA", at positions 524 to 776 of the family's 1533-position model. The record is from RNAcentral.